Molecule: ribosomal RNA, 820 nt
Filed under: uncultured Actinomycetes bacterium
Lineage: Bacteria; Bacillati; Actinomycetota; Actinomycetes
Description: bacterial SSU rRNA
Rfam family: Bacterial small subunit ribosomal RNA
Source: RNAcentral
ACUCCUACGGGAGGCAGCAGUGGGGAAUAUUGCACAAUGGGCGCAAGCCUGAUGCAGCGACGCCGCGUGGGGGAUGACGGCCUUCGGGUUGUAAACCUCUUUCACCAUCGGCGAAGCGGAGGUGACGGUAGGUGGAGAAGAAGCACCGGCCAACUACGUGCCAGCAGCCGCGGUAAUACGUAGGGUGCGAGCGUUGUCCGGAAUUACUGGGCGUAAAGAGCUCGUAGGUGGUUUGUCGCGUUGUCCGUGAAAUUCCCUGGCUUAACUGGGGGCGUGUGGGCGAUACGGGCAGACUGGAGUACUGCAGGGGAGACUGGAAUUCCUGGUGUAGCGGUGGAAUGCGCAGAUAUCAGGAGGAACACCGGUGGCGAAGGCGGGUCUCUGGGCAGUAACUGACGCUGAGGAGCGAAAGCGUGGGGAGCGAACAGGAUUAGAUACCCUGGUAGUCCACGCCGUAAACGGUGGGUACUAGGUGUGGGUUUCCUUCCUUGGGAUCCGUGCCGUAGCUAACGCAUUAAGUACCCCGCCUGGGGAGUACGGCCGCAAGGCUAAAACUCAAAGAAAUUGACGGGGGCCCGCACAAGCGGCGGAGCAUGUGGAUUAAUUCGAUGCAACGCGAAGAACCUUACCUGGGUUUGACAUGCACAGGACGACGGCAGAGAUGUCGUUUCCCUUGUGGCCUGUGUGCAGGUGGUGCAUGGCUGUCGUCAGCUCGUGUCGUGAGAUGUUGGGUUAAGUCCCGCAACGAGCGCAACCCUUAUUUCAUGUUGCCAGCGCGUUAUGGCGGGGACUCGUGAGAGACUGCCGGGGUCAACUCGGA